This 394-nucleotide unclassified non-coding RNA is filed under the name fungal sp. Its description in RNAcentral is "partial internal transcribed spacer region". The stretch from base 1 to 46 matches the Rfam family "Eukaryotic small subunit ribosomal RNA", at positions 1786 to 1831 of the family's 1831-position model. The record is from RNAcentral. Lineage: Eukaryota; Fungi.
AAGUCGUAACAAGGUUUCCGUAGGUGAACCUGCGGAAGGAUCAUUAACACGUUAUCCACGUAUCAACCAACGAGAACCGUUUUCACCUCUCCCCUCCGUAGAAUGGAUUGCGUGCGCAGUAGAGUUAAUGAAUGGGAUGCUUGCGUCAGACUCUGCUCGCCUUUGACUUGACGUAGAAAUACGUUGGGUUGGACAAUUGUAUCUGCAAUGGAGGAUCCCUCUCAUUGAUCAGUCUCCACUUCAUGACUCUUUCGAUGGGAACCUAUUUUACCCCUUUCACCCCCUUUUUGCUAGUUGACUUUUAUAUGUUGUACUCGAGCUUCGGCGACGGUGCACACGUUUAAUUAUUUGAACGUUAAAAAUACAACUCUUAGCAAUGGAUAUCUUGGUUCUC